This 400-nucleotide ribosomal RNA is filed under the name uncultured bacterium. Its description in RNAcentral is "bacterial SSU rRNA". It matches the Rfam family "Bacterial small subunit ribosomal RNA", at positions 356 to 773 of the family's 1533-position model. The record is from RNAcentral.
GGGGAAUAUUGGACAAUGGGGGCAACCCUGAUCCAGCCAUGCCGCGUGAGUGAUGAAGGCCUUAGGGUUGUAAAGCUCUUUCAGUGGGGAAGAUAAUGACGGUACCCACACAAGAAGCCCCGGCUAACUUCGUGCCAGCAGCCGCGGUAAUACGAAGGGGGCUAGCGUUGUUCGGAUUUACUGGGCGUAAAGCGCACGUAGGCGGAUUGGUCAGUUAGGGGUGAAAUCCCGGAGCUCAACUCCGGAACUGCCUUUAAUACUGCCAGUCUAGAGUCCGAGAGAGGUGAGUGGAACUCCUAGUGUAGAGGUGGAAUUCGUAGAUAUUAGGAAGAACACCAGUGGCGAAGGCGGCUCACUGGCUCGGUACUGACGCUGAGGUGCGAAAGCGUGGGGAGCAAAC